This is a long non-coding RNA of Nicotiana tabacum (common tobacco), 886 nucleotides long. RefSeq lists it as uncharacterized. The record is from RefSeq and is a predicted model, not a curated record. Lineage: Eukaryota; Viridiplantae; Streptophyta; Magnoliopsida; Solanales; Solanaceae.
GGUUAAAUUAUUUGGGAAACCCAAACGUUUCCUCUUAUAAUGGUUUCCAACCGUUUCUAACAAACCCUUUAUUCUGCUGCUACUCUCUCUUCCAUGGGAAAAAAAUUAUUACUCUUUCCUUUCUUUGCAAUUUGGACAACCCUAGCCAAUGUCAAAAUUGCAUCACAUGUGGUGAUCUGAAUUGAGAUCCAAUAGAUGCCAUUCAAGUUGGUAAUUUAAGCGACAAAAAGGGCUGUAGAUGUUGUCACGACAGUUUCAAGCUUUUCGUCACCUGGCCUCACUGUUUUGGUGCUUCAAUCACAAAGGACAAAAGAGAAGUAUUUUUUUUCAGUAAAAGAUCAACCACUAUUAUCAUUAUUUGACAAAUAGUGUUGAUUUGUGACAAAGUUUAACAUUGGAAGCACAAGGUAGACUGGUGGUAGUGAUGGUGGCUCUAUCCCUACUUCUUCCAUUGAGGUUUUGAGAGAGUAUGAGUCGCUAGGGGUACUCCGGUGAAAUGUUUUACUCUUUAUCAUUUUUCAUUCCAUUUGGAUUUCACAGUGUUCGUCUUCAAAUUAGAUAUUUGGUUUUGGCAAGCGAGUGAAAAAAAUUAUUAGUAGCUCCAUUUCAUGUUUAAGGUCUAGAAAUUCAAAUGAUCAUUUCAUUGGUGCCUCGUCUAAUGGGUUGGAGUUCAGACUUAUAUUGCUUCCAUGCUAAAAGUGAGAGUUGAAUCCAAAGGUUUAAAGGAUUUCAAGGGAUCAAAAAGCUCGAGUACCUUAUAGCUCCAUGAUUCCUUGCUCUUUUCUUUUUGUUCAAUAUUGUACAAUACUUGAUAAUUAAUAUUAUUCAAGUAUAAAAGGUAAACCUUUAAUAUUCUGACAAGAUAUUCCCUAAAUUAGAUGUGCUG